UGAGAUAGGGAGAUCAGGGGAGGCAGCCUUCUAAGCUGUAGGUGGCCCGUUCGAGUCGGGCGUGUCGCGG
Molecule: transfer RNA, 70 nt
Filed under: Treponema sp.
Lineage: Bacteria; Pseudomonadati; Spirochaetota; Spirochaetia; Treponematales; Treponemataceae
Description: tRNA-Ser
Source: RNAcentral